This 663-nucleotide ribosomal RNA is filed under the name Vojtechirogas heberti. RNAcentral's name for it is "partial 28S ribosomal RNA". It matches the Rfam family "Eukaryotic large subunit ribosomal RNA", at positions 398 to 810 of the family's 3401-position model. Lineage: Eukaryota; Metazoa; Arthropoda; Insecta; Hymenoptera; Braconidae. The record is from RNAcentral.
CGUGAAACCGUUCAGGGGUAAACCUGAGAAACCCAAAAGAUUAAAUGGGGAGAUUCAUCGUCAGCUCAUUUUGUAUAUAUAUAAUUUAUGAUGCGAGUUACUACUUGUAGUAUUGCUUGCACAUUUUUAUAUAUUUAUUUGCAAGAUAUUGUCGGCGUGCACUUCUCCCCUAAUAAGACGUCGCGACCCGUUGGGUGUCGGUCUACGGCCCAAGUGGAUAGUCUUUAAUAUUUAAUAAUAUUAAAGUCCCUUGGUGUUUUCUGACCGGUUACUCGGCGGUACACGUAAGGUAUUAAGCCGCAAUUAUAUGCGUCUAUUUCCGUCACAAGCGAGGCAAAUUUCUGAUAGUACGGACCAAGUGCCGUCGUUGGUAUUUGCCAGCUGUUGGUUGUUACGGUUUUCUAAGACUGGCUUAUAAUAAUUACCGGUCGGCGAUGCUACUGCUUUGGGUACUUUCAGGACCCGUCUUGAAACACGGACCAAGGAGUCUAACAUGUGCGCGAGUCAUUGGGAUUUUUUAUAAAUUAAACCUAAAGGCAUAAUGAAAGUAAAGGUCGUCCUUGCGUCGACUGAGGGAGGAUGAGCUGUGUUAUGAUACAGCUUCGCACUCCCGGGGCGUCUCAUUCUUAUUUUAAGAAGAGGCGCACUUAGAGCGUACACGUU